Molecule: small RNA, 131 nt
Filed under: Kluyvera intermedia
Lineage: Bacteria; Pseudomonadati; Pseudomonadota; Gammaproteobacteria; Enterobacterales; Enterobacteriaceae
Description: RtT sRNA
Rfam family: RtT RNA
About the family: This family represents a bacterial cis-regulatory element known as RtT RNA. The exact function of RtT is unknown although it is thought that it may be involved in changing the cellular response in relation to amino acid starvation.
Source: RNAcentral
UAUCCUGCCCACGCGGGAAGGAUGAGAAGCUUCGACAAAGGUUCGAUUCGAGCGUAGCGAGAAAGCGUUGCCGCAGGCAACGACCCGAAGGGCGAAGCGCGCAGCGCUGAGUAAUCCUUCCCCCACCACCA